This 292-nucleotide unclassified non-coding RNA is filed under the name Hevea brasiliensis (rubber tree). The record is from RNAcentral. Lineage: Eukaryota; Viridiplantae; Streptophyta; Magnoliopsida; Malpighiales; Euphorbiaceae.
GGCUGAAAUCUGCAAUUAUUUGCAUUAUUCUAGGCUGGUGCAGUGAAAGUAAAGAGGGUGGGGAAAGAAAAGUUCUAAACUUUACACCUAGCGUUUAAUAGGCAUCAUGUGAGUUCCCAUAGGCAAUUAGCAUAGGGUUUAUAAUGCAAUAUGAGAAGAUGAAGAUCCUAAUACAAUUUAGGAAUUCUUUUCAUUUUCCAAAAUCCUAAUGUGAUCAGGAUUCUUAAUUCUAUAAAUAGGACCUAAGGUUUCUCUUAUUAUUAGUUUUGGAUAAUGAUUAUUAAUUGAAAAU